GACGAACGCUGGCGGCGUGCCCAACACAUGCAAGUCGAACGAGGUCCAAGGAAGCUUGCUUCCUGAAGACCUAGUGGCGAACGGGUGAGUAACACGUGAGAAACCUGCCUCGGAGUGGGGAAUAACUCGGGGAAACUCGAGCUAAUACCGCAUACCUUCACAUGAUCGCAUGGUCGAGUGAAGAAAGAAUUUCGCUCUGAGAGGGUCUCGCGGCCUAUCAGCUUGUUGGUGGGUAACGGCCUACCAAGGCAACGACGGGUAGGCUGGUUUGAGAGAACGAUCAGCCACACUGGGACUGAGACACGGCCCAGACUCCUACGGGAGGCAGCAGUGGGGAAUCUUGCGCAAUGGGCGAAAGCCUGACGCAGCAACGCCGCGUGCGGGAUGACGGCCUUCGUGGUUGUAAACCGCUUCAGCAGGACGAAAUGACGGUACCUGCAGAGAAGCCCGGCUAACUACGUGCCAGCAGCCGCGGUAA
This 478-nucleotide ribosomal RNA is filed under the name uncultured bacterium. Its description in RNAcentral is "bacterial SSU rRNA". It matches the Rfam family "Bacterial small subunit ribosomal RNA", at positions 28 to 523 of the family's 1533-position model. The record is from RNAcentral.